AGGGUUUAAGAGGUUCAAAAAAAGAUGGUCAAAUCCAGUGAGUGGUUCAGAGAGAUUCAAACUUAGGUCUGAAAGAAGGUCUGAUUGAUUGGUGGUUAGUCAAGUUCUAGGGGUUAGAACUCUUGAUGCAAGGUGAAGAAGGAGCGCUGUCUUUGGUUCAAUUUCCGUAUGGAUCACCGUUGAAGAGUGGACACUUAGACACC
Molecule: long non-coding RNA, 203 nt
Filed under: Elaeis guineensis (African oil palm)
Lineage: Eukaryota; Viridiplantae; Streptophyta; Magnoliopsida; Arecales; Arecaceae
Description: long non-coding RNA (EGUI_LNC043759)
Source: RNAcentral